GAUAAGUCGCCCAGUAUUGUGUGAGAGGUAGAGUCACAGAUUGGAGAAGCUUUGGAGAGAGACAGAACAAAACUUGAGUGUUGACUCCAGUACUCAGUGGGCGAGUUUGAAAAAGUACCAGAAGGUCCUAUCCCUCCAUCUACACCGAAGUUUGCAUAUGGAAAGGUCACUUUGGAAAAGUUAAAGACAGUGGGAGCAGCUCUGGACAUUCUGUGUCCCUCUGGGCCCAUCAAAAGCCUUUAUCCCUUGACAUUUAUCCAGGUGAAACAGCAUUAUGGGUUUGUGCUGUACCGGACAACACUUCCUCAAGAUUGCAGCAACCCAGCACCUCUCUCUUCACCCCUCAAUGGAGUCCACGAUCGAGCAUAUGUUGCUGUGGAUGGGAUCCCCCAGGGAGUCCUUGAGCGAAACAGUGUGAUCACUCUGAACAUAACAGGGAAAGCUGGAGCCACGCUGGACCUUCUGGUAGAGAACAUGGGACGUGUGAACUAUGGCGCAUAUAUCAACGAUUUUAAGG
This 517-nucleotide small RNA is filed under the name Pan troglodytes (chimpanzee). RNAcentral's name for it is "processed transcript". Lineage: Eukaryota; Metazoa; Chordata; Mammalia; Primates; Hominidae. The record is from RNAcentral.